AACGAACGCUGGCGGCAUGCCUAACACAUGCAAGUCGAACGAGACCUUCGGGUCUAGUGGCGCACGGGGGCGUAACGCGUGGGAACCUGCCCUUAGGUUCGGAAUAACUCCCCGAAAGGGGUGCUAAUACCGGAGAAGGUCUUCGGACCAAAGAUUUAUGGCCUUAGGAUGGGCCCGCGUUGGAUUAGCUAGUUGGUAGGGUAAAAGCAUACCAAGGCGACGAUCCAGAGCUGGUCGGAGAGGAUGAUCAGCCACACUGGGACUGCGACACGGCCCAGACUCCUACGGGAGGCAGCAGUGGGGAAUAUUGGACAAGGGGGGAAAGUCUGAUACAGCAAUGCCGCGUGAGUGAUGAAGGCCCUAGGGUUGUAAAGCUCUUUUACCCGGAAUGAUAAUGACGGUACCGGGAGAAUAAGCACCGGCUAACUCCGUG
This 433-nucleotide ribosomal RNA is filed under the name uncultured bacterium. RNAcentral describes it as "partial 16S ribosomal RNA". It matches the Rfam family "Bacterial small subunit ribosomal RNA", at positions 29 to 507 of the family's 1533-position model. The record is from RNAcentral.